UACGAACCGUCCAAACGUUAUUCGGAUUUAUUGGGCUUAAAGGGUAUGUAGGCGGCCCUUCAAGUCGGGUGUGAAAGCCCUCGGCUCAACCGAGGAACUGCGCCCGAUACUGUGGGGCUCGAGGGAGACAGAGGUAAGCGGAACUGAUGGUGGAGCGGUGGAAUGCGCAGAUAUCAGGAGGAACACCGGUGGCGAAGGCGGGUCUCUGGGCCGAUACUGACGCUGAGGAGCGAAAGCGUGGGGAGCGAACAGG
This 253-nucleotide ribosomal RNA is filed under the name uncultured bacterium. RNAcentral describes it as "partial 16S ribosomal RNA". It matches the Rfam family "Bacterial small subunit ribosomal RNA", at positions 524 to 776 of the family's 1533-position model. The record is from RNAcentral.